This 465-nucleotide ribosomal RNA is filed under the name Vreelandella stevensii. Its description in RNAcentral is "partial 16S ribosomal RNA". It matches the Rfam family "Bacterial small subunit ribosomal RNA", at positions 338 to 795 of the family's 1533-position model. The record is from RNAcentral. Lineage: Bacteria; Pseudomonadati; Pseudomonadota; Gammaproteobacteria; Oceanospirillales; Halomonadaceae.
UCUACGGGUGGCUGCAGUGGGGAAUAUUGGACAAUGGGCGAAAGCCUGAUCCAGCCAUGCCGCGUGUGUGAAGAAGGCCUUCGGGUUGUAAAGCACUUUCAGUGGGGAAGAAAGCCUUGGGGCUAAUACCCUCGAGGAAGGACAUCACCCACAGAAGAAGCACCGGCUAACUCCGUGCCAGCAGCCGCGGUAAUACGGAGGGUGCGAGCGUUAAUCGGAAUUACUGGGCGUAAAGCGCGCGUAGGCGGUCUGAUAAGCCGGUUGUGAAAGCCCCGGGCUCAACCUGGGAACGGCAUCCGGAACUGUCAGGCUAGAGUGCAGGAGAGGAAGGUAGAAUUCCCGGUGUAGCGGUGAAAUGCGUAGAGAUCGGGAGGAAUACCAGUGGCGAAGGCAGCCUUCUGGACUGACACUGACGCUGAGGUGCGAAAGCGUGGGUAGCAAACAGGAUUAGAUACCCUGGUAGUC